CCUAUUAUUUUCUUUCUUAGCGCACUACAAUCAUGUCUUCCUGGCUGUAUCUCCUCCUGCUGGCGGCUUUGCUGGGAGGGAUCCAAUCUGAAAUACAGUUUCUUCAGUCUGGUCCACAAAUAAAAAGGCCUGGAGAAUCAAUACGAUUGACCUGUAAGGCAUCUGGAUAUAACUUCACUAACUAUAGGAUGAACUGGAUCAAACAGGCACCAGGAAAAGGACUGAACUGGGUGGGUACUAUUAGGACAGACAACUUUAAUACAUUCUAUGCUGAAGCUUUGAAAGCUCGAGUCACCAUCACCGUGGACACUUCCAUCAGCACCACAUUUCUGCAAUUGACAAACCUGAACACUGAUGAUACAGCUGUGCAUUAUUGUGGAAGGCACACAGUGGAGAAAACCACAUUCAUAGCCAUUCAUAAAUCCUCAGGAGGAAACUGGCUGCUUUGCUGGAUCCAAUCUGAAAUACAAUUUAUCCAGUCUGGUCCAGAAAUAAAAACACCUGGGGAAUCAAUAUGAUUGACCUGUAAGGCAUCUGAAUAUACUUUCACUGACUACUACAUCCACUGGAUCAAACAGGCAGGAAAAGGACUGAACUGGGUGGGUACUAUUAGGGCAGACAACUUUAAGACAUUCUAUGAUGAAGCUUUGAAAGCUCAAGUCACCAUCACUGUCGACACUUCCGUCAGCACCACAUUUCUGCAACUGACAAACCUGAAUACUGAGGACACAACUGUGUAUUACUGUGCAAGAGAAAACCACAUCCAUAACCACUCAUAA
Molecule: non-coding RNA, 779 nt
Organism: Crotalus tigris (Tiger rattlesnake)
Lineage: Eukaryota; Metazoa; Chordata; Lepidosauria; Squamata; Viperidae
Source: the annotation of a RefSeq genome assembly